This 223-nucleotide unclassified non-coding RNA is filed under the name uncultured Cristinia. RNAcentral's name for it is "partial internal transcribed spacer 2". The record is from RNAcentral. Lineage: Eukaryota; Fungi; Basidiomycota; Agaricomycetes; Atheliales; Atheliaceae.
AAUCAUCAACCUCAAAUCCUUUGUGUUUUCGAGGCUUGGUCUUGAGGGUUUGCAGGCCUUUACCGGUCAGCUCCCUUUAAAUCUAUUAGCGAGACUUCCCUGUGUUGACUGUCUCUUGGCGUGAUAAUUAUCUGCGUCAAACUUGACGGUCUCGUUGGGCUUGCUUCUAAUCGUCUUCGGACAAAAGGAUCGAAGCGCAUAUAUGCGCCUCUUUUCAAACCUU